This 72-nucleotide transfer RNA is filed under the name Marmota monax (woodchuck). RNAcentral describes it as "tRNA.Ala". The record is from RNAcentral. Lineage: Eukaryota; Metazoa; Chordata; Mammalia; Rodentia; Sciuridae.
GUAUUGUGGCUCAGGGGUAGAGUGCUUGCCUAGCAUGCACAAGGCACUGGGCUCAAUCCUCAGCAUCAUAUA